CUACGGGGUGCUGCAGUGAGGAAUAUUGCACAAUGGGGGGAACCCUGAUGCAGCAACGCCGCGUGGAGGAUGACGCAUUUCGGUGUGUAAACUCCUUUUAUAUGUCAAGAAAAUGACGGUGGCAUAUGAAUAAGCACCGGCUAACUCCGUGCCAGCAGCCGCGGUAAUACGGAGGGUGCAAGCGUUACUCGGAAUCACUGGGCGUAAAGGACGCGUAGGCGGGUUGGAAAGUCAGGUGUGAAAUCCUACAGCUUAACUGUAGAACUGCACUUGAAACUUCUAACCUAGAGUAUGGGAGGGGGAGAUGGAAUUAGUGGUGUAGGGGUAACAUCCGUAGAUAUCACUAGGAAUACCUAAAGCGAAGGCGAUCUCCUGGAACAUUACUGACGCUAAGGCGUGAAAGCGUGGGGAGCAAACAGGAUUAGAUACCCCCGUAGUC
Molecule: ribosomal RNA, 439 nt
Filed under: uncultured bacterium
Lineage: Bacteria
Description: partial 16S ribosomal RNA
Rfam family: Bacterial small subunit ribosomal RNA
Source: RNAcentral